This 253-nucleotide ribosomal RNA is filed under the name uncultured bacterium. RNAcentral describes it as "partial 16S ribosomal RNA". It matches the Rfam family "Bacterial small subunit ribosomal RNA", at positions 524 to 776 of the family's 1533-position model. The record is from RNAcentral.
UACGUAGGUGGCGAGCGUUAUCCGGAAUGAUUGGGCGUAAAGGGUGCGCAGGCGGUCCUGCAAGUCUGGAGUGAAACGUAUGAGCUCAACUCAUGCAUGGCUCUGGAAACUGGCUGGCUUGAGUUGGGGAAAGGCAGGCGGAAUGCGCGGUGUAGCGGUGAAAUGCAUAGAUAUCGCGCAGAACCCCGAUUGCGAAGGCAGCCUGCCGGCCCCACACUGACGCUGAGGCACGAAAGCGUGGGUAUCGAACAGG